Molecule: unclassified non-coding RNA, 530 nt
Filed under: Crotalaria colorata
Lineage: Eukaryota; Viridiplantae; Streptophyta; Magnoliopsida; Fabales; Fabaceae
Description: partial contains external transcribed spacer and 18S ribosomal RNA
Source: RNAcentral
UUUGCUUGCUUGCCUUUGGCAAAGCGGGGUGUGGUUCGUUUGANAGCGUUGUGUCCUGCAGACGUGAGUGCGUGUGAGUGGUUAUCGGGAUGGUUGUGCUGUUCGGCUCCUUGCCCAUGGUUUUGGAACUUGCAGCAUGCAACCCUUCUCAUGUGUGCCUUGUGCCGGUGGGCCUUGGUGUUCACUGGUGGUUCCUGUGUUGCGUACCCAUCUAGCGGUAUUCGUGUGCCGCGAAGACCGGUUCCUCCCACACCCCCUCGUGGAGGGUGAUUGGGGAUUUCUAAUUUGAUGCGUGUUUGGCGUUAGUUGUGCGUUGUAACGGCUCACGUGGCCACACGUGUCUAUUGUUCCCUUGGAUGCGGUGCAUGCGAUGAACGUGGCCUGGUGUUUGUGCCCCGUUUAGUCCCUAUGACAUAUCGGUUGCCUUUGAAAGGAAGACACUUUGCCGUAGUGCCGGUCUUGCUAUCCCAUUGGUGGUGGCAACACUUGCACGUCGUGCAUAGUCGUCAAUGGAUGCUACCUGGUUGAUC